GUGGCAGCCGCCGCGGUAAUACGGAGGGUGCAAGCGUUAUCCGGAUUCAUUGGGUUUAAAGGGUGCGCAGGCGGAUACUUAAGUCAGUGGUGAAAUCCCGGGGCUCAACCCCGGAACUGCCAUUGAUACUGAAUAUCUGGAAUACGGUUGAAGUGGGCGGAAUGUAGCAUGUAGCGGUGAAAUGCAUAGAGAUGCUACAGAACACCGAUCGCGAAGGCAGCUCACUAAGCCGAUAUUGACGCUCAGGCACGAAAGCGUGGGGAGCGAACAGGAUUAGAUACCCUGGUAGUCCACGCCGUAAACGAUGAUAACUCGUUGUUGGCGACACACAGUCAGCGACUAAGCGAAAGCGAUAAGUUAUCCACCUGGGGAGUACGAUCGCAAGGUUGAAACUCAAAGGAAUUGACGG
Molecule: ribosomal RNA, 409 nt
Filed under: uncultured bacterium
Lineage: Bacteria
Description: bacterial SSU rRNA
Rfam family: Bacterial small subunit ribosomal RNA
Source: RNAcentral